GCAAAACAAAAUUCCACAAAAAAUGAUUUAUCUGUCAGGGAGAGAGAAAAGAAAGAGGAAGAAUAGAGAAAAAGUCAAGAUAAAGGUAUGUUUUAACAUGUCUUGGUAAUGUAAUGUUUAU
Molecule: long non-coding RNA, 121 nt
Organism: Xiphophorus hellerii (green swordtail)
Lineage: Eukaryota; Metazoa; Chordata; Actinopteri; Cyprinodontiformes; Poeciliidae
Exons: 3
Source: RefSeq, a predicted model, not a curated record